RNAcentral lists this ribosomal RNA (443 nucleotides) under uncultured bacterium. Its description in RNAcentral is "partial 16S ribosomal RNA". It matches the Rfam family "Bacterial small subunit ribosomal RNA", at positions 338 to 795 of the family's 1533-position model. The record is from RNAcentral.
CCUACGGGCGGCAGCAGUGGGGAAUAUUGGGCAAUGGGCGCAAGCCUGACCCAGCAACGCCGCGUGAAGGAAGAAGGCCCUCGGGUUGUAAACUUCUUUUAUCAAGGACGAAACAAAUGACGGUACUGGAUGAAUAAGCCACGGCUAACUACGGGCCAGCAGCCGCGGUAAUACGUAGGUGGCAAGCGUUAUCCGGAUUUACUGGGUGUAAAGGGCGUGGAGGCGGGACGGGAAGUCAGAUGUGAAAACCAUGGGCUCAACCCCUGGCCUGCAUUUGAAACGGUAGUUCUUGAGUGUUGGAGCGGCAGGCGGAAUUCCGUGUGUAGCGGUGCACUGCGUAGAUAUACGGAGGAACACCAGUGGCGACGGCGGCCUGCUGGACAAUACCUGACGCUGAGGCGCGACAGCGUGGGGAGCAAACAGGAUUAGAUACCCGAGUAGUC